Molecule: long non-coding RNA, 747 nt
Filed under: Equus asinus (donkey)
Lineage: Eukaryota; Metazoa; Chordata; Mammalia; Perissodactyla; Equidae
Description: lncRNA (ENSEASG00005024643.1)
Source: RNAcentral
GGAAACAGACUUAUUAUCCUCUCUAAAUUCUUGCUAUCUGUGAUAUUAUAGUUUAUAAUGAGACACAUAUAUUUGUGCUUUCCGGGCACAGAGCUCCUAAAGCCUUUGGCAUUUCCUAAGUGAGGAGAAUGAUAAAGACGUCUUUGUUAUGUUAAUGAGGUGACUUCUGGCAUGCCCCUAAGUCACCUAAGGAUGGGGGCUGGUUGCCAGGGGAACCAACCAUGUGAUUAGAGAGUUGGAACUUUCAGUCCCAUCCCCCAGACCUCCCGGGAGGGCAGAGGGGCUGGAGGUUGAAUCAAUCACCAACGGCCAAUGAUUUAAUCAAUCGUGCCUAUGUAAGGAAGCCUCCAUAAAAACCCAAAAAGGACAGGGUCCGAAGAGCUUCCUGGUUGAACACGUGGAGAGGUGGGAAGAGCUGUGCGCCUGGAGAGGGCAUGGACGCUCCGAGACCCCGCCCGGACGUCUCUUCCGUCUGGCGGUUACUGAAUUAUAUCCUUUUACAAUGCACCGGUGAUCUAGUAAUUCUGGUGGGCGAAGACUGUCAUGGCUAGAGGAGCUGGGAUUCCACUGCUGAACCAACAUGCCACUGGAGUGAAAUCCUCAGCUGUGCCUUCAUGCCCGUUCCUGAUCAUUUCAAAAUUUCUCCACUAUUUCUAGGGCCGGCCUGGUGGUGUAGCAGACUUUCAUAUGCAGUCAUGCAUCGCUUAGUGAUGGGGAUGUGUUCUGAGAAAUGUGUCAUCAGGCAAC